CAGCAUAAAGGGGAGCCGAGGCUCCCCUUUAAAUCGUUGCACGUGCUCUUUUUUAUUGUUGUAGGGCGGUCUGUUGUUGUUUUUGGCAACCGGUCCCUCUACAGCGUCUUCAGUGGUCCCCAUCCGGGACACAAGAGCAAACGUAUUUUUUUGAGCGCUGAUCUGCUUCGAUGCCUUCGUUUGGCGAAGUAUCCAACCCGUUCUGGACGCUACCUGAAGGUAGUU
Molecule: unclassified non-coding RNA, 225 nt
Filed under: Pseudomonas sp. NFR16
Lineage: Bacteria; Pseudomonadati; Pseudomonadota; Gammaproteobacteria; Pseudomonadales; Pseudomonadaceae
Description: Pseudomonas sRNA P29
Source: RNAcentral